AAAUUGAAGAGUUUGAUCAUGGCUCAGAUUGAACGCUGGCGGCAGGCCUAACACAUGCAAGUCGAACGGUAACAGGAAGCAGCUUGCUGCUUUGCUGACGAGUGGCGGACGGGUGAGUAAUGUCUGGGAAACUGCCUGAUGGAGGGGGAUAACUACUGGAAACGGUGGCUAAUACCGCAUAACGUCGCAAGACCAAAGAGGGGGACCUUCGGGCCUCUUGCCAUCAGAUGUGCCCAGAUGGGAUUAGCUAGUUGGUGAGGUAACGGCUCACCAAGGCGACGAUCCCUAGCUGGUCUGAGAGGAUGACCAGCCACACUGGAACUGAGACACGGUCCAGACUCCUAAGGGAGGCAGCAGUGGGGAAUAUUGCACAAUGGGCGCAAGCCUGAUGCAGCCAUGCCGCGUGUAUGAAGAAGGCCUUAGGGUUGUAAAGUACUUUCAGCGGGGAGGAAGGUGUUGCGGUUAAUAACCGCAGCAAUUGACGUUACCCGCAGAAGAAGCACCGGCUAACUCCGUGCCAGCAGCCGCGGUAAUACGGAGGGUGCAAGCGUUAAUCGGAAUUACUGGGCGUAAAGCGCACGCAGGCGGUCUGUCAAGUCGGAUGUGAAAUCCCCGGGCUCAACCUGGGAACUGCAUUCGAAACUGGCAGGCUUGAGUCUUGUAGAGGGGGGUAGAAUUCCAGGUGUAGCGGUGAAAUGCGUAGAGAUCUGGAGGAAUACCGGUGGCGAAGGCGGCCCCCUGGACAAAGACUGACGCUCAGGUGCGAAAGCGUGGGGAGCAAACAGGAUUAGAUACCCUGGUAGUCCACGCCGUAAACGAUGUCUACUUGGAGGUUGUGCCCUUGAGGCGUGGCUUCCGGAGCUAACGCGUUAAGUAGACCGCCUGGGGAGUACGGCCGCAAGGUUAAAACUCAAAUGAAUUGACGGGGGCCCGCACAAGCGGUGGAGCAUGUGGUUUAAUUCGAUGCAACGCGAAGAACCUUACCUGGUCUUGACAUCC
RNAcentral lists this ribosomal RNA (999 nucleotides) under Salmonella enterica. RNAcentral describes it as "bacterial SSU rRNA". It matches the Rfam family "Bacterial small subunit ribosomal RNA", at positions 1 to 989 of the family's 1533-position model. Lineage: Bacteria; Pseudomonadati; Pseudomonadota; Gammaproteobacteria; Enterobacterales; Enterobacteriaceae. The record is from RNAcentral.